UCAUUGCAUUACGGUGGAGUGGGCGGAGCCUCGUGAAUGACGGUUAUUUUUUUCAAACGAGGAAGUGAAGUCAAGUCCGCCAUUUCAUCUUCUUCUUUAUAUCGGAAAAGCUGAAGGAAAGGACAACUCUCACAUCAGUGCAUUACUAAUUGUUUGACUUCAUCAUCAAGCACACCAGUUCAGAUUGUGAUGGACCUGGAAUGCGACACCAGUUACUCUUAAGUCAAGAACCAAAUGAAGCACCAGAGUACAGAUUAUGGAGGUAUCUGAAGUUGAACUAACUGGAAGCAGGGAACCAUACUAAUAAAGUUCCUUAAGCAGGUUCCUUGUAAAGAUUAACCCAGGGAAGGAUCGAAAGUGGAGAAGACCAGAUCAAGAAAGACCACAUCAAGAUCUGCGGUCAGUUCAAAGGUACUUUCACUAAUUACCAAGAUUUCAGACAAUGAAUUGAUGGAGAAAACUUUGAGUGUCAGAUCUUCCUACAGUCUGCGCAGACAUCUAUAGUCAUCUUAACGUGAGCGCUUUAAUGGUCAAAUAGGUGUAAAAACGCAGUGUUUAGUGAAUAUUCAUAUCAAGCAUCGUUUGUGUAAUAAACAAACGAGUUGAGAAUCAAAAUAGAUGCGAAAGAGAAACUAUUAAAGAGACAGCGUGCUAUAAUCCUUC
This is a non-coding RNA of Danio rerio (zebrafish), 663 nucleotides long. NCBI's taxonomy places the organism in Eukaryota, Metazoa, Chordata, Actinopteri, Cypriniformes, Danionidae. The record is from RefSeq and is a predicted model, not a curated record.